AAGUCGUAACAAGGUUUCCGUAGGUGAACCUGCGGAAGGAUCAUUACAGAGUUCAUGCCCUAACGGGUAGAUCUCCCACCCUUGAAUACUAUACCUUAGUUGCUUUGGCAGGACGUGGAAACACCACCGGCUUCGGCCUGUGAGUGCCUGCCAGAGGAAAUCAAACUCUGUUUUUAGUGAUGUCUGAGUACUAUAUAAUAGUUAAAACUUUCAACAACGGAUCUCUUGGUUCUG
Molecule: unclassified non-coding RNA, 234 nt
Filed under: Ascomycota sp.
Lineage: Eukaryota; Fungi; Ascomycota
Description: partial contains small subunit ribosomal RNA, internal transcribed spacer 1, and 5.8S ribosomal RNA
Rfam family: Eukaryotic small subunit ribosomal RNA (bases 1-46)
Source: RNAcentral